Molecule: ribosomal RNA, 462 nt
Filed under: uncultured bacterium
Lineage: Bacteria
Description: partial 16S ribosomal RNA
Rfam family: Bacterial small subunit ribosomal RNA
Source: RNAcentral
GACGAACGCUGGCGGCGUGCUUAACACAUGCAAGUCGAGCGGAAAGGCCCUUCGGGGUCCUCGAGCGGCGAACGGGUGAGUAACACGUGAGUAACCUGCCCCAGACUUUGGGAUAACCCUCGGAAACGGGGGCUAAUACCGGAUACGACACAGCUUCGCAUGGGGUCUGUGUGGAAAGUUUGUCGGUUUGGGAUGGGCUCGCGGCCUAUCAGCUUGUUGGUGGGGUGAUGGCCUACCAAGGCGACGACGGGUAGCCGGCCUGAGAGGGCGACCGGCCACACUGGGACUGAGACACGGCCCAGACUCCUACGGGAGGCAGCAGUGGGGAAUAUUGCACAAUGGGCGGAAGCCUGAUGCAGCGACGCCGCGUGAGGGAUGACGGCCUUCGGGUUGUAAACCUCUUUCAGCAGGGACGAAGCGUAAGUGACGGUACCUGCAGAAGAAGCGCCGGCCAACUACGUG